Molecule: long non-coding RNA, 793 nt
Organism: Daphnia pulex (common water flea)
Lineage: Eukaryota; Metazoa; Arthropoda; Branchiopoda; Diplostraca; Daphniidae
Exons: 3
Source: RefSeq, a predicted model, not a curated record
UGAAUUUUUGUUUUUCCCCUACCGUCUAUAUAGCUUGCUUAUACUACCUUGGACUACUCCAUCUGUCUGACGUUGACGGACACUUUGACUUUUUUUUCUUUCUUUUGAAAUAUUUAAAUAUCAAACAAAUCUCUAGGUCGUAAUGAUGGUUGACUGGAUGCUGGAUUAAUCACACAUGUUGCGGUGAAGAAUUUCAAUUAUUUUCGCCCAUUGCCUGAUUAAAUACGUUGUUGAUACUGUAAAGUCUUUUGUCCAAUAUAUCAGGGAAGACGCUUUUAGCCGAUGACUGAGAACAGGCCAUAAAUCCAUCGGCGAUGUGGGAUGGUAAGUUAAUUAUAUAUGUACUUUUAGAAGAGCGAAGGAGGAGCUAUUUCAGUGUGGGGACUUCCUCUGUGAGGGAUGAGAGAGAGUGAGAGAGAGAGAGAGAGAGAGAGAGAAGACGCGGGGCUUUCUGCGACUCCGCAACCGGAAAGGUUUUAAACAUCUCGGAAAAUGGCAUGGAACAUUUCAUUUCCUCGAGCGUCUUUUCUUUGUUUUGGAGUUGCUGACAUUGGAUGACUUCACCGACAACGCCUACCACAAGGCCAGCAGCAGACUCCUGCCGGGCCGAAAGAUUUGCUGGCCGCCGCCGCCGCAGCACAGUUCAAUAUAAUGUCAGCUGGGAGUUUGAUUGAAGAAAGAAAAGAAGCUGUUGGACGCAGGUGAAAAUCCUUGGCGGGAUUGCGAGGGUAAAGAAAGAAAUGAUCUGUAAACGCAGACAAAUUAUCUUGAAUUCAACGAGAAAAUCAUUUGA